AAUGAACGUUGGCGGCGUGGAUUAGGCAUGCAAGUCGAGCGAGAACCGUAGCAAUACGGGGACAGCGGCGUAAGGGAGAGUAAUGCGUGGAUACCUACCCUCGGGUCCAGGAUAGCUGCGGGAAACUGCAGGUAAUACUGGAUGACAUCUCCGGAUCAAAGGUGUGAUUCCGCCCGGGGAGGGGUCCACGUCCUAUUAGCUAGUUGGCGAGGUAACGGCCCACCAAGGCAAAGAUGGGGUAUGGGGUGUGAGAGCAUGCCCCCACUCACUGGGACUGAGACACUGCCCAGACACCUACGGGUGGCAG
Molecule: ribosomal RNA, 307 nt
Filed under: uncultured Planctomycetota bacterium
Lineage: Bacteria; Pseudomonadati; Planctomycetota
Description: bacterial SSU rRNA
Rfam family: Bacterial small subunit ribosomal RNA
Source: RNAcentral